AUGAACGCUAGCGGCAGGCUUAACACAUGCAAGGUCGAGGGGCAGCGUGAUGAAGUAGCAAUACGGAUUUGAUGGCGACCGGCGCACGGGUGAGUAACGCGUAUCCAACCUGCCCAUUACUCGGGCAUAGCCCAGUGAAAACUGGAUUAACUCCCGAUACUGUUCUGAUGCGGCAUCUUAUCAGGACAAAAGUUUACGGUAAUGGAUGGGGGAUGCGUCUGAUUAGGUAGUAGGCGGGGUAACGGCCCACCAUGGCGACGAUGUCUAGGGGUUCUGAGAGGAAGGUCCCCCACACUGGAACUGAGACACGGUCCAGACUCCUACGGGAGGCAGCAGUGAGGAAUAUUGGUCAAUGGCCGAGAGGCUGAACCAGCCAUGCCGCGUGAAGGUCACGGCCCUAUGGGUCUUAAACUUCUUUUGCAAGGGAGCAAUAAGCCUCACGUGUGGGGCGAUGAGAGUACCUUGCGAAUAAGCAUCGGCUAACUCCGUG
RNAcentral lists this ribosomal RNA (490 nucleotides) under uncultured bacterium. RNAcentral's name for it is "bacterial SSU rRNA". It matches the Rfam family "Bacterial small subunit ribosomal RNA", at positions 29 to 507 of the family's 1533-position model. The record is from RNAcentral.